This 361-nucleotide unclassified non-coding RNA is filed under the name Hevea brasiliensis (rubber tree). The record is from RNAcentral. Lineage: Eukaryota; Viridiplantae; Streptophyta; Magnoliopsida; Malpighiales; Euphorbiaceae.
GGGAAACUAAGUCGGAUAAGUUUCCUGUUGGACUUGUUGCUGCUCUUGCUAGUGUAGCAGCAGUUUCUUUCCUUGUGGCUGUUCUGUAUGGUCUGUUUGUGUUGAGAAGUCACAGAAAAAGAAAACAAGAAUCAGUUUCGACAUGGAAACAAACGUCAUUUCACAAAUUAGACUUCACAGAAUCAGACAUUGUAUCCAAUCUGACCGAAAACAACAUAAUUGGAAGUGGAGGAUCAGGACAAGUGUACCUCGUGCCUUUAAGCCGAUCAGGUGACUAUGUUGCUGUCAAGAGGAUAUGGAGAAACCAAAGGUUGGAUCACAAGCAUGAGAAACAGUUUCUUGCUGAAGUUCAGAUAUUAGG